This 573-nucleotide ribosomal RNA is filed under the name Triticum aestivum (bread wheat). RNAcentral describes it as "partial small subunit ribosomal RNA". Lineage: Eukaryota; Viridiplantae; Streptophyta; Magnoliopsida; Poales; Poaceae. The record is from RNAcentral.
AUGGAUAACCAAUCCAUUUUCCAAUAUAGUUGGGAGAUUUUACCCAAGAAAUGGGUACAUAAAAUGAAAAGAUCGGAACAUGGGAAUAGAUCUUAUACCAAUACUGACUACCCAUUUCCAUUGUUGUGCUUUCUAAAAUGGCAUACCUAUACAAGGGUUCAAGUUUCGAUCGAUAUUUGCGGAGUGGAUCAUCCCUCUCGAAAACGAAGAUUUGAAGUUGUCCAUAAUUUACUGAGUACUCGGUAUAACUCACGCAUUCGUGUACAAACAAGUGCAGACGAAGUAACACGAAUAUCUCCGGUAGUCAGUCUAUUUCCAUCAGCCGGCCGGUGGGAGCGAGAAGUAUGGGAUAUGUCUGGUGUUUCUUCCAUCAAUCAUCCGGAUUUACGCCGUAUAUCAACAUAUUAUGGUUUCGAGGGUCAUCCAUUACGAAAAGACUUUCCUCUGAGUGGAUAUGUGGAAGUACGCUAUGAUGAUCCAGAGAAACGUGUGGUUUCUGAACCCAUUGAGAUGACCCAAGAAUUUCGCUAUUUCGAUUUUGCUAGUCCUUGGGAACAGCGUAGCGACGGAUAA